GACGAACGCUGGCGGCGUGCUUAACACAUGCAAGUCGAACGGAAAGGCCCUGCUUUUGUGGGGUGCUCGAGUGGCGAACGGGUGAGUAACACGUGAGUAACCUGCCCUUGACUUUGGGAUAACUUCAGGAAACUGGGGCUAAUACCGGAUAGGAGCUCCUGCUGCAUGGUGGGGGUUGGAAAGUUUCGGCGGUUGGGGAUGGACUCGCGGCUUAUCAGCUUGUUGGUGGGGUAGUGGCUUACCAAGGCUUUGACGGGUAGCCGGCCUGAGAGGGUGACCGGCCACAUUGGGACUGAGAUACGGCCCAGACUCCUACGGGAGGCAGCAGUGGGGAAUAUUGCACAAUGGGCGGAAGCCUGAUGCAGCAACGCCGCGUGCGGGAUGACGGCAUUCGGGUUGUAAACCGCUUUCGCCUGCGACGAAGCGUGAGUGACGGUAAUGGGUAAAGAAGCACCGGCUAACUACGUG
Molecule: ribosomal RNA, 468 nt
Filed under: uncultured bacterium
Lineage: Bacteria
Description: partial 16S ribosomal RNA
Rfam family: Bacterial small subunit ribosomal RNA
Source: RNAcentral